AGUGAACGCUGGCGGCAGGCCUAAUACAUGCAAGUCGAACGGCAGCACAGCAGAGCUUGCUCUGUGGGUGGCGAGUGGCGGACGGGUGAGGAAUACGUGGGAAUCUGCCCAGUCGUGGGGAUAACGUAGGGAAACUUACGCUAAUACCGCAUGCGCCCUUCGGGGAAAGCCGGGGACCUUCGGGCCUGGCGCGAUUGGAUGAGCCCACGUCGGAUUAGCUAGUUGGCGGGGUAAAGGCCCACCAAGGCGAUGAUCCGUAGCUGGUCUGAGAGGAUGAUCAGCCACACUGGAACUGAGACACGGUCCAGACUCCUACGGGAGGCAGCAGUAGGGAAUAUUGGACAAUGGGCGCAAGCCUGAUCCAGCCAUGCCGCGUGAGUGAAGAAGGCCCUCGGGUUGUAAAGCUCUUUGUCCGGAAAGAAAAGCGCCGGGUUAAUACCCUGGUGUCCUGACGGUACCGGAAGAAUAAGCACCGGCUAACUUACGUGCCAGCAGCCGCGGUAAU
RNAcentral lists this ribosomal RNA (505 nucleotides) under uncultured bacterium. RNAcentral describes it as "bacterial SSU rRNA". It matches the Rfam family "Bacterial small subunit ribosomal RNA", at positions 29 to 524 of the family's 1533-position model. The record is from RNAcentral.